UACUACUCCCUCCGUCCUAAAAUAAACCAAUUUUUUACUUUUUACCUAUAAUUUUUUGCUCUUCGUCUUAUUCAAAAAAAAUUUAUGAUUAAUAUUUUUGUUUUUAUUAGAUGAUAAAUCAUAAAUAGUAUUUUACGUGUGACUAUUUUUUUUUUUAAUUUUCUAAAAAAUUUUCAAAUAAGACGGAUGAUCAAAACGUUGGACAUAAAAAACAAUUGUUUUCUUGGACGAGUACGUCAUCAAGAAAAGCAAGCAAGAGGAGCAGUCAAACUUUUGGCAGGAGGU
This 285-nucleotide long non-coding RNA is filed under the name Oryza brachyantha (malo sina). Its description in RNAcentral is "long non-coding RNA (OBRA_LNC000079)". The stretch from base 21 to 229 matches the Rfam family "MIR812 microRNA precursor family". Lineage: Eukaryota; Viridiplantae; Streptophyta; Magnoliopsida; Poales; Poaceae. The record is from RNAcentral.